Molecule: ribosomal RNA, 318 nt
Filed under: uncultured bacterium
Lineage: Bacteria
Description: bacterial SSU rRNA
Rfam family: Bacterial small subunit ribosomal RNA
Source: RNAcentral
GACGAACGCUGGCGGCGUGCCUAAUACAUGCAAGUCGAGCGAACUUCUUUAGAGCUUGCUUUAAAGAAGUUAGCGGCGGACGGGUGAGUAACACGUGGGCAACCUGCCUGUAAGACUGGGAUAACUUCGGGAAACCGGAGCUAAUACCGGAUAAUAUAUAGUACCUCCUGGUACUAUAUUGAAAGUUGGUUUCGGCUAACACUUACAGAUGGGCCCGCGGCGCAUUAGCUAGUUGGUGAGGUAACGGCUCACCAAGGCAACGAUGCGUAGCCGACCUGAGAGGGUGAUCGGCCACACUGGGACUGAGACACGGCCCAG